Molecule: small nuclear RNA, 107 nt
Organism: Sorex araneus (European shrew)
Lineage: Eukaryota; Metazoa; Chordata; Mammalia; Eulipotyphla; Soricidae
Source: Ensembl
GUGCUCACUUUAACAGCACAUUUACUAAAAUUGGAAUAAUACAGAAAAGAUUCACGUGACCUUUAUGCAAGGGUGACAUGCAACUUUGUGAAAUGUUUGACACCUUG